GAAGCGGCGUCGGACGGCGUCGGUUUUGGAGGAAUUCACAGAUCUGGAUUUUUGCAGGUUUCUAAAGCAAUUUUUUUCCAACUUCAUCUAGCCCCUCUCUUCUACGCUUUAAAGCGCAAGAAUCUAAAAGAAAAGAUGAUGAUUGGUUGAUGGACAGAGCCUGAGUGUGGCAAGAAGCUAGUGGAGAAGACGAACAAUCUACCUGCUCGUCUUCUCCGUUGGUCGUCAUUGGAAGCAGAUGUUGAGCGCCAUGCCGGAAGAAGAGAGAGGCGACAAGCAGCGCCGGAGGAGAACCGUUUGAGCAUCGGUGUUCGGAGAAGAGAGGGUCAAAGAGGAAGUCAGACACAACAAUAAAAGACUAUUUUGCCCCUUUCAAUUCAGAUAAAAUGAUGUUUAAUUUUUUCCAGUCACAUUUGGCCGGCGUGACUAAAAUUGAGAAAAAAUGCAUAGUCAAGGUACGAAAUCAACAUUUUUGAAAGUCGCGGAUAGCAAUUAAUACUACUACAAUAGUCAUUGGACCAAAAUGUCAAUUUUCUCUUUAGGUUGAUAUUAAAGUGUUACUUUUUUUUUCUCUUUUAGAUGAUGAUGAAAACUGUAGUCACUAUUUGAUAAUAUAUAUUGAGUAAAUUUUAUUUUUGUAUAA
This is a long non-coding RNA of Ipomoea triloba (trilobed morning glory), 643 nucleotides long. RefSeq lists it as uncharacterized. The record is from RefSeq and is a predicted model, not a curated record. Lineage: Eukaryota; Viridiplantae; Streptophyta; Magnoliopsida; Solanales; Convolvulaceae. The transcript has 2 exons.